RNAcentral lists this ribosomal RNA (88 nucleotides) under Ailuropoda melanoleuca (giant panda). The record is from RNAcentral. Lineage: Eukaryota; Metazoa; Chordata; Mammalia; Carnivora; Ursidae.
GUCUACGGCCAUACCACCCUGAACGCGCCCGAUCUCGUCUGAUCUCAGAAGCUAAGCAGGGUCGGGCCUGGUUAAUACUUGGAUGGGA